GAGUUUGAUCCUGGCUCAGAUUGAACGCUGGCGGCAGGCCUAACACAUGCAAGUCGAACGGUAACAGGAAGAAGCUUGCUUCUUUGCUGACGAGUGGCGGACGGGUGAGUAAUGUCUGGGAAACUGCCUGAUGGAGGGGGAUAACUACUGGAAACGGUAGCUAAUACCGCAUAACGUCGCAAGACCAAAGAGGGGGACCUUCGGGCCUCUUGCCAUCGGAUGUGCCCAGAUGGGAUUAGCUAGUAGGUGGGGUAACGGCUCACCUAGGCGACGAUCCCUAGCUGGUCUGAGAGGAUGACCAGCCACACUGGAACUGAGACACGGUCCAGACUCCUACGGGAGGCAGCAGUGGGGAAUAUUGCACAAUGGGCGCAAGCCUGAUGCAGCCAUGCCGCGUGUAUGAAGAAGGCCUUCGGGUUGUAAAGUACUUUCAGCGGGGAGGAAGGGAGUAAAGUUAAUACCUUUGCUCAUUGACGUUACCCG
This 483-nucleotide ribosomal RNA is filed under the name uncultured bacterium. RNAcentral's name for it is "bacterial SSU rRNA". It matches the Rfam family "Bacterial small subunit ribosomal RNA", at positions 9 to 481 of the family's 1533-position model. The record is from RNAcentral.